AACGAACGCUGGCGGCAUGCCUAACACAUGCAAGUCGAACGAGACCUUCGGGUCUAGUGGCGCACGGGUGCGUAACGCGUGGGAAUCUGCCCUUGGGUUCGGAAUAACAGUGAGAAAUUACUGCUAAUACCGGAUGAUGUCGAAAGACCAAAGAUUUAUCGCCCAGGGAUGAGCCCGCGUAGGAUUAGCUAGUUGGUGAGGUAAAGGCUCACCAAGGCGACGAUCCUUAGCUGGUCUGAGAGGAUGAUCAGCCACACUGGGACUGAGACACGGCCCAGACUCCUACGGGAGGCAGCAGUGGGGAAUAUUGGACAAUGGGCGAAAGCCUGAUCCAGCAAUGCCGCGUGAGUGAUGAAGGCCCUAGGGUUGUAAAGCUCUUUUACCCGGGAUGAU
This 393-nucleotide ribosomal RNA is filed under the name Sphingomonas sp. RNAcentral describes it as "bacterial SSU rRNA". It matches the Rfam family "Bacterial small subunit ribosomal RNA", at positions 29 to 449 of the family's 1533-position model. The record is from RNAcentral. Lineage: Bacteria; Pseudomonadati; Pseudomonadota; Alphaproteobacteria; Sphingomonadales; Sphingomonadaceae.